UGCAGUCGAGCGGACCGACGGGAGCUUGCUCCCUUAGGUCAGCGGCGGACGGGUGAGUAACACGUGGGUAACCUGCCUGUAAGACUGGGAUAACUCCGGGAAACCGGGGCUAAUACCGGAUGCUUGAUUGAACCGCAUGGUUCAAUCAUAAAAGGUGGCUUUUAGCUACCACUUGCAGAUGGACCCGCGGCGCAUUAGCUAGUUGGUGAGGUAACGGCUCACCAAGGCGACGAUGCGUAGCCGACCUGAGAGGGUGAUCGGCCACACUGGGACUGAGACACGGCCCAGACUCCUACGGGAGGCAGCAGUAGGGAAUCUUCCGCAAUGGACGAAAGUCUGACGGAGCAACGCCGCGUGAGUGAUGAAGGUUUUCGGAUCGUAAAACUCUGUUGUUAGGGAAGAACAAGUACCGUUCGAAUAGGGCGGCACCUUGACGGUACCUAACCAGAAAGCCACGGCUAACUACGUGCCAGCAGCCGCGGUAAUACGUAGGUGGCAAGCGUUGUCCGGAAUUAUUGGGCGUAAAGCGCGCGCAGGCGGUUUCUUAAGUCUGAUGUGAAAGCCCCCGGCUCAACCGGGGAGGGUCAUUGGAAACUGGGGAACUUGAGUGCAGAAGAGGAGAGUGGAAUUCCACGUGUAGCGGUGAAAUGCGUAGAGAUGUGGAGGAACACCAGUGGCGAAGGCGACUCUCUGGUCUGUAACUGACGCUGAGGCGCGAAAGCGUGGGGAGCGAACAGGAUUAGAUACCCUGGUAGUCCACGCCGUAAACGAUGAGUGCUAAGUGUUAGAGGGUUUCCGCCCUUUAGUGCUGCAGCAAACGCAUUAAGCACUCCGCCUGGGGAGUACGGUCGCAAGACUGAAACUCAAAGGAAUUGACGGGGGCCCGCACAAGCGGUGGAACAUGUGGUUUAAUUCGAAGCAACGCGAAGAACCUUACCAGGUCUUGACAUCCUCUGACAACCCUAGAGAUAGGGCUUCCCCUUCGGGGGCAGAAUGACAGGUGGUGCAUGGUUGUCGUCAGCUCGUGUCGUGAGAUGUUGGGUUAAGUCCCGCAACGAGCGCAACCNUUGAUCUUAGUUGCCAGCAUUCAGUUGGGCACUCUAAGGUGACUGCCGGUGACAAACCGGAAGAA
This 1132-nucleotide ribosomal RNA is filed under the name Bacillus licheniformis. RNAcentral describes it as "bacterial SSU rRNA". It matches the Rfam family "Bacterial small subunit ribosomal RNA", at positions 56 to 1171 of the family's 1533-position model. The record is from RNAcentral. Lineage: Bacteria; Bacillati; Bacillota; Bacilli; Caryophanales; Bacillaceae.